Molecule: ribosomal RNA, 253 nt
Filed under: uncultured bacterium
Lineage: Bacteria
Description: partial 16S ribosomal RNA
Rfam family: Bacterial small subunit ribosomal RNA
Source: RNAcentral
UACGAAGGGGGCUAGCGUUGCUCGGAAUCACUGGGCGUAAAGGGUGCGUAGGCGGGUCUUUAAGUCAGGGGUGAAAUCCUGGAGCUCAACUCCAGAACUGCCUUUGAUACUGAGGAUCUUGAGUUCGGGAGAGGUGAGUGGAACUGCGAGUGUAGAGGUGAAAUUCGUAGAUAUUCGCAAGAACACCAGUGGCGAAGGCGGCUCACUGGCACGGUACUGACGCUCAUGUGCGAAAGCGUGGGGAGCAAACAGG